Molecule: small nuclear RNA, 143 nt
Filed under: Canis lupus familiaris (dog)
Lineage: Eukaryota; Metazoa; Chordata; Mammalia; Carnivora; Canidae
Description: U1 spliceosomal RNA (multiple genes)
Rfam family: U1 spliceosomal RNA
About the family: U1 is a small nuclear RNA (snRNA) component of the spliceosome (involved in pre-mRNA splicing). Its 5' end forms complementary base pairs with the 5' splice junction, thus defining the 5' donor site of an intron. There are significant differences in sequence and secondary structure between metazoan and yeast U1 snRNAs, the latter being much longer (568 nucleotides as compared to 164 nucleotides in human).
Source: RNAcentral
AUAUUUACCUGACAGGGGAGAUGCCAUGAUCACAAGGAGGUUUUCCAGGGUGGAUGCUUAACCAUUACACUCCGGUUGUGCUGACCCCUGCGAUUUCCAGCACAGUCUGUGGUGGUCGGGCACUGGUUCACAACCCCUCCCCC